This 254-nucleotide ribosomal RNA is filed under the name uncultured bacterium. Its description in RNAcentral is "partial 16S ribosomal RNA". It matches the Rfam family "Bacterial small subunit ribosomal RNA", at positions 524 to 776 of the family's 1533-position model. The record is from RNAcentral.
UACGUAGGGGGCGAGCGUUGUCCGGAAUUAUUGGGCGUAAAGAGCUCGUAGGCGGUUCGGCAAGUCACGUGUGAAAUCUCCACGCUCAACGUGGAGUCGCCACGUGAGACUGCCGUGACUCGAGUCCGGUAGGGGAGCGUGGAAUUCCCGGUGUAGCGGUGAAAUGCGCAGAGAUCGGGAGGAACACCUGCGGCGAAGGCGGGUUGCUGGGCUGACACUGACGCUGAUGUGCGAAAGCUAGGGGAGCGAACGGG